GGGACCGUAGCUCAGCCUGGUUAGAGCGUCCGCCUGAUAAGCGGGAGGUCGCCGGUUCAAAUCCGGCCGGUCCCACC
This 77-nucleotide transfer RNA is filed under the name compost metagenome. RNAcentral's name for it is "tRNA-Ile". It matches the Rfam family "tRNA". Rfam says of the family: Transfer RNA (tRNA) molecules are approximately 80 nucleotides in length. The record is from RNAcentral.